This 494-nucleotide ribosomal RNA is filed under the name Enterococcus faecium. RNAcentral describes it as "bacterial SSU rRNA". It matches the Rfam family "Bacterial small subunit ribosomal RNA", at positions 51 to 516 of the family's 1533-position model. Lineage: Bacteria; Bacillati; Bacillota; Bacilli; Lactobacillales; Enterococcaceae. The record is from RNAcentral.
AUACAUGCAAGUCGAACGCUUCUUUUUCCACCGGAGCUUGCUCCACCGGAAAAAGAGGAGUGGCGAACGGGUGAGUAACACGUGGGUAACCUGCCCAUCAGAAGGGGAUAACACUUGGAAACAGGUGCUAAUACCGUAUAACAAUCAAAACCGCAUGGUUUUGAUUUGAAAGGCGCUUUCGGGUGUCGCUGAUGGAUGGACCCGCGGUGCAUUAGCUAGUUGGUGAGGUAACGGCUCACCAAGGCCACGAUGCAUAGCCGACCUGAGAGGGUGAUCGGCCACAUUGGGACUGAGACACGGCCCAAACUCCUACGGGAGGCAGCAGUAGGGAAUCUUCGGCAAUGGACGAAAGUCUGACCGAGCAACGCCGCGUGAGUGAAGAAGGUUUUCGGAUCGUAAAACUCUGUUGUUAGAGAAGAACAAGGAUGAGAGUAACUGUUCAUCCCUUGACGGUAUCUAACCAGAAAGCCACGGCUAACUACGUGCCAGCAGCC